AACGAACGCUGGCGGCAGGCUUAACACAUGCAAGUCGAGCGCCUCGCAAGAGGAGCGGCAGACGGGUGAGUAACACGUGGGAAUCUACCCAUCCCUGCGGAACAACUCCGGGAAACUGGAGCUAAUACCGCAUACGCCCUUAGGGGGAAAGAUUUAUCGGGGAUGGAUGAGCCCGCGUUGGAUUAGCUAGUUGGUGGGGU
Molecule: ribosomal RNA, 200 nt
Filed under: uncultured bacterium
Lineage: Bacteria
Description: partial 16S ribosomal RNA
Rfam family: Bacterial small subunit ribosomal RNA
Source: RNAcentral